Molecule: long non-coding RNA, 1321 nt
Filed under: Pongo abelii (Sumatran orangutan)
Lineage: Eukaryota; Metazoa; Chordata; Mammalia; Primates; Hominidae
Description: lincRNA
Source: RNAcentral
UGCUGUGAGGAGAGCUGGUGUUCCUUUGGCCUGGGGCCCACCCAGAAUGGACACACCUGGGGGCAGACUGGAGCCCACCUUGCACUGGAGCUAAGCUGUCAGACCUGCAGCUUGAAGCAGGGCAGCCUGGCUGAGGCCCACCAAGAUCAGCCAACUUGCAAACACAGGAGAAACCAGUGCUUCUUGUGACAGGGUCUCUCUUUGCUGCCUAGGCUGGAGUGCAGUGGAAUGAACUUGGCUUAUUGCAGCAUUGACCCCCUGGACCCAAGUGAUUCUCCUACCUUAGCCUCUUGAAUAGCUGUGACAACAGGUGUGCACUACCACACUCAGCUAAAUUUUGUAAUUUUUGUAGAGAGGGCGUUUGACCCUGUUGCCCAGGCUGGUCUCAAACUCCUGAGCUCAAGUGAUCCUCCUGCCUCGGCCUCCCAAAGUGCUGGGAUUACAGAAGAAGAAAAUGAGGCAUUGAAAGAUUACACAACUUCCUUUGAGUCAUAUUUGCUUGUAAGUGGUAAGGCUGGAUGUUGAACCCAGGACAAAGGGUCUCACUCUGUCGCCCAGGCUGGAGUGCAAUGGCAUGAUCUCAGUCACUGCAACCUCUGCCUCCCAGGUUCAAGCGAUUCUCCUGCCUCAGCCUCCCAAGUAGCUGGGACUACAGUGGGUAAACUUCUCGGAGGAGAAUUGGCAUUGCAAGGGUGUUACUGGAGACCUCGGCAAGAAAGUGAAUGCAAAGACAGAUGACCCAGGAACCCGUGAUGGAUAAGGCUCUUGACAGCCAGGAUGUGGAAUUACAGGGGGUCUCUUUGAGAGACAAAAUAAAAAAAAUAGCCCAGUAAUCUUCCUUCCACCCUUUUCUCCCAGAUCUAAUUACAGAUGUCUUGACAUUCCUUCUGCAUAGAGUUUCCUUAAAAGAUUUGCCAAGAAGAAACAUUUGGAAACUGUGUUUUAGGUAUAAUCCGUCUGGGAGUCACUCUUGCUCGCUUUGUCGUUAGAUGACAAAACGCUUAAUUACAGCGAGCGCAAUGUAUACCACAUUUGGAAAACUGGAUUCUUGACCUAAAUAAUGUACCCCAUACUGACAACGGCCUUUUGGCAAAACUUGUGUCUCUGAUCUCACAUUAAUUACUACACAAAUAUACUUAUUGUGGGCACCGAGUUUACGGGAUGGAGUCCUCUUGACACAUGUUCACCAUAAAAACACAUUUUUUUCCCUUCCCCUGACCCUAAGGAAAAGAAAAAAAAAGAUUAACAUUUUUCAAGAUGCUGUUUUAGUGACAUGAAAACUGUCUGUUGAGUGUUCACUCGGCUUUUGUUCUUUUUCUUU